Molecule: long non-coding RNA, 4875 nt
Filed under: Homo sapiens (human)
Lineage: Eukaryota; Metazoa; Chordata; Mammalia; Primates; Hominidae
Description: HSALNT0320774
Source: RNAcentral
CCUGAGGCUCACUCAUAUCUUCUUUUAUGUCCAAUGUACCUUCAGUUGGUGCAUACUCCAAAUUCACACUUAAGUGACCAUCACUGUCCUCUUGAUCCUUCAAUCCCAGCUCUUGGCUAGAACUCUUGCCCUGUUCUGCUGACUGUUCAUGGCUUUCCUCUUUUGACUUUAGUACUGAUGAUUUUUCAGCCUUAAAAGAAAAAAAAGUUCAUUCUUCAAACAAAUGAUAAUGUAACCAUAUUUAUGCCUAAGGUAACAUUUAAUAUUCAUUAUUCUUUUUCUUCACACACUAUCAUGUAAACAUGUUUAUAAUAUUCCUCACACUCUGUAGCCACAGGUUUAAACUGAAUUUGGAUUUUAUAAAAUGAAACAAGUAUACAGCAGCUCAGCCCAAGUAGUAAAACUCAUUAAUCCUCAUCAUUCUUCUAGUGAUUGGAGGCAGUUGAGGUGAUCAUCAUGUUUUAAAAAAAUUAAACUGAGACAUAAAUAACAUAAUCUCUUUUACCAUGCUUUGAAACUAAGACCUUUGGAGAAUUAAAAAAUUGUAUUAAUAUAAAUGAUGUUACUUUUACCUUAUGGUGGGAAUCGUCUUCUGUGGAUACUGCUGUUUCUUUUUCAUUUUCUUCAGCUUCAGCCCUUAAACUGGGGAUUGCAGUGUUGUCAGGUGCUACCGUUUCAGCAGUUGGUUUGGAAUGAUCAGAUAAUAAUCUUGCAUUUGUCUGAAAAAAUUAAAAACUGGUUUUUGUUAUUCAUGUCUGGAUGCUAAUUUACAAAUUUGCUAGUUACUCUUGUUGUCAUCAUUAUUAGUAGCAAUAUACUUCAUUUAUACCAACAAUUUAAAAAUAUUCUCUAGAGUUUUUGAGGAUAUAAGCAGAUGCCUAGAACAGAAUGUUAAGUGGAAGCAGAAUCUCAAUUGUGUUUAAGAAAAAGUUAUUUAUGCAGAGACUGGGUGAAAAUAAAACAAAAUGCAUUUAAAUAAUGGUAACUUUGAGUUUUGAAAUUAUUUUCUGUGUUUUUUAAACUUUUGCAAAGCAUUUGUACUUUACAAUUUUGGAAAGUGUUGUUUAGCAGAAAGUUGAAGUCAAAUAAAAUUAACCAUAGGAUAUAGUAUUGUACAUUUGCCUAAUUUAAGUACCCACCGAUAAUUAGCAGAAAAAUUUAUAAACUUUUUAUCAAUAUUUAUUUGAUUUCUUAACGCCAUUGGCCUUAACGUUGGUCAGGAAAUCUUAAUGGGGCUGGGCAUGGUGGCUCACGCCUGUAAUCCCAGGUCUUUGGGAUGCCGAGGUGGGUGGAUCACCUGAGGUCAAGGGCAGGAGUUCAAGACUAGCCUGGACAACAUGGUGAAACCCCGUCUCUACUAAAAAUACAAAAAAUUAGCUGGGUGUGGUGGUGGGUGCCUGUAAUCGCAGCUACUCGGGAGGCUGAGGCAGGAGAAUCACUUGAACCCUGGAGGCGGAGGUUGCAGUGAGCUGAGAUUGUGCCAUUGCACUCCAGCCUGGUCAACAAGAGUGAAACUCCAUCUCAAAAACAAAAAAAAUUAGAAUUAAUUCAGACUGUGUGAGACAGGGCACUAAGCCUAAGUAGAAAAGGGCAUGUCUGGAGUAUUAAUUUCUAUUAGAGGGAUGGUCCUAUUUCUAGCAAGAUUGGAGACUUGGAUAAAGAGCUGGGCAGUGAUGCAUGAUGGGGAAGUUGAACAACUGAACUUGGAGGUAAGAGGCCUCCAUUCAAGUCUUGCCUCUGCUAUUUACUUUCUAUCUGUGGUUUGACAGGUCGUUAAUAUUUUUUAUUAAUUAAAAAACAUUAAUAAAAUUAAUUCAUUAUAUUAAUUUUUAAUUAAUUAACUCCAGCCUCUUGCCCAGGGUGGAGUUCAGUGAUGAAGUCUCGGCUCACUGCAACCUCUGCCUCCCAGGCUCAAGCCACCCUUCCACUUCAGCCUCCCCAGUAACUGGGACUAUAGGCACCACCAUGCCUGGGUAAUUUUUGUAUUUUUUGUAGAGAUGGAGUUUCACCAUGUUGCCCAGUCUGGCCUCGAACUUCUGAACUCAAGCAAUCUUCCUGUCUUGGCCUCCCAAAGUGCUGGGAUUACAGGUGUGAGCCACCAUGACCGGCCAAGGUCAUUAAUUUCUACCCUGCCAUCUCUCAAGGUGGCAAGAAAUAUCAAGUGAGCAGAAAUAUCAAAAUAAGAUUAUGUAUAAAAAAUAUGUUAUAAAUUUUAAGGAGUUGCCCAACUGAAAAUUACUAUUUCUAGUACUAAUGUCACACUGUGUCAAUAAUAUAAACUGCCCAGUAUCUGAGGCAGAUAUUCACCAUGGAUCUUUAUUAGAGAGAUACUCUGGACACUCAGAUGGCCUAUCCAGGUGUAAGUAUGAAACUGAGAUUCUAUUUGGAUUAACUUAUUUUUAUUCCAUUAGCAGGUCCUGUAGUGCUGACUGUGUAAUAGUCAUGGAGUACAGGAUUUAUUUUUUAUUUUUAAACUUUUUUUUGAGACAGAGUCUCACUCUGUUGCCCAGGCUGAAAUACAGUGGUGAUCUUGGCUCACUGUAACCUCCACCUGCUGGGUUCAAGCAAUUCUCAUGCCUCAGCCUCCUGAGUAGCUGGGAUUGCAGGUGCCUGCCACCAUGCCCUGCUAAUUUUUGUAUUUAUUUAUUUUUCUAGUAGAGACAGGAUUUCACCAUGUUGGCCAGGCUGGUCUCAAACUCCUGGCCUCAAGUGAUCUGCCCACCUUGGCCUCCCAAAGUGCUGGGAUUACAGAUGUGAGCCACGGCUUCUGGCCAAAGUACAGGAUUCAUAUUAGGUUUGGUUUGCUCCUUUGCUUCUUAUCUCCUUUUCACCUAAGAUGGGUAAUGAAUUUGAAAAAGUUUAUAAAGAAGCCUUAAAGAAGGGGGAAAAGGAGAAAGAAUGGUGGCCACUUUGGUAAGCUGCCAGCAGGGGGCAUCAUAGAAGGCAAUGGAUGGGGGAGAUUUUAGGCUUAUUAGUGGAGAACUGGUCACUCUCUCUCCCCCUCCAUCCGCCUACUGCCCAAGCAGGAAGAAAUGCACACAAAAAAUGGCAGCUCUUUUACUUUCAGAAAUAUUCUGCAAUUGAAAUUAUGUUUUAUCACUAUGGGCAUAUUUCUAUUUAUUUAACUCUGGAAAUCUAUUUGGAAUCUCCCAACUACACAGAAUCCAUUUUCAUCUGGAGAAUUCAGGCAGGCAGGGAAAAUUAUACAAAUUUUUAAUAGGUCAUUUCUAUGAGAAGAUACUUAGCUUUCUAGCAGUUUGGCUAGGUUUACAUGAUAUCAAAUUGUCCCAGAAAGGAAACAUCUGGAAUGUGUCUAAAUGCAAGUGUGUCAUUCAAACAUUUGGUUCAAACACUUUUUUUGUUUUUUGAGGCAGUCUUGCUCUGUCACCCAGGCUGGAGUGCUGUGUGCGAUCUUGGCUCACUGCAGCCUCAACUACCCUGGCUUAAGGGAUCCUCCCUCCUGUGCCUCCCAAGUAGCUGGGACUACAGGCACAUGCCAUGGCAGCUGGCUAAUUUUUUAUUUAUUUUUUUGUAGAGACGUGGCCUCACUAUGUUACCCAGGCCGGUCUUGAACUCUUGGGCUCAAGCGAUCCUCUGGCCUUGACCUCCCAAAGUGCUGGGAUUAUAGGUAGGAGCCACUGUGCGUGGCCCAAAGACACUUUUUAAUGUUUAUUUACAUAACAGCAACAGCCACAAGGACAAAGCACAUUUUCAGGAGAAAACAACGGUUUUGUGGGAACUCCUUUCAGUGUUGAACAUUAACUUGUCCCGCUUUUGUGAUUUCAGGGUGUAAUGUAUAAUUUCAGCUAGAGUAGCUCCAUACUACUUAAGCAUGAUUCCUGAUGGUGGGUAUAAACUCUGUCUUCCAAGAACAGCUUGGUCUGGGUGCCAUGGAGUUUGUUUUUGCUGACACAUUUGUCAACCAGAAGCUAGCUAACAACUUAUCCAAAAAGCAAGGACAGAAUUUUAGACCUAGAGAAGAAGGGAGGAAAGGGACGAUUGAGAAAUUGUUUUGUCUCUUUAAAGGAGGCUGAUUCCUCCAUUUGGUGAAAAAGAAAAAAAAUAUGGCACGAAUCCUUUGGUUUAAUGAAGGAUUACAUGAAUCAUUUGCAGAACAUCUCCAGUGGUCAUUCAUGCUAUGGUUUCAUUUGUUUUUUAACUUUCAGUUUGUUUUGAGGCCACUGACACGGUUUCAAAUGAUCUGAUUUGUGUACAGCUGCUUUAUUGCUGUGCAAAUGGGGCCAAUAUAUCUGACCAUGAAGAAGAGAAUAUUCUAGCCCUGCCUACUUUCAGCAUACUUGCUUGGACAGCCUCCCAAGGGUGAAUUAGGAGCUGAUUUAUGAUUACCAUAUCGUUUCCUGCCUAAACCAUUGGUUUCUGUUUUCAUUAUAGACUCUCAAAAUUUCUCAGCCAGCAUCUAUUUGAUCUUGAAGAAAAUGCUGCUGGAGACCGUGGAUAUGCACCCUAAGUAUUUUUUUUUUUUCAGACGGAGUCUCACUCUGUUGCCCAGGCUGGAGUGCAGUGGAGUGAUCUCAGCUCACUGCAAUCUCUGCCUCCUGGGUUCAAUUGAUUCUCCUUGCCUCAGCCUCCCGAGUAGCUGGGAUUACAGGUGCCCGCCACCAUGCCCGGCUAAUUUUUGUAUUUUUUAGUAGAGACGGGGUUUUGCCAUGUUGGCCAGGCUGGUCUUGAGCUCCUGACCUCAGGUGAUCCGCCCAUCUCAGCCUCCCGAAGUGCUGGGAUUACAGGCGUGAGCCACCGCACCUGGCCUAAAAUCUUGGGUUUAUAAUAACAAUGUGAUGAGCUUCCCUGGGAGAAUUUAUUUCUUCCUGUCUCUUGUGUAUUUGGGCUGAUUCUAUGGCUAAUAAACUGAUAGCC